Molecule: transfer RNA, 100 nt
Filed under: Pseudomonas reactans
Lineage: Bacteria; Pseudomonadati; Pseudomonadota; Gammaproteobacteria; Pseudomonadales; Pseudomonadaceae
Description: tRNA-Val
Source: RNAcentral
GGGCGUUCUGUGAAAUCCAAGAGCAGCAGGGCUGGGAGCUCGCUUCCAGCAGACCUUGACAUGGUGGGGGUCGUUGGUUCGAGUCCAAUCGCGCCUACCA